This 2308-nucleotide unclassified non-coding RNA is filed under the name Hevea brasiliensis (rubber tree). Lineage: Eukaryota; Viridiplantae; Streptophyta; Magnoliopsida; Malpighiales; Euphorbiaceae. The record is from RNAcentral.
CUUCUAUCAACUCCGGGUCAAUCACGCAGUUGUGGAAUUAUUUGAUCGCUGGUGCAGCUCUAUCUAUCUAGACACAACAUUUUCUUGACCAGAAAAUGUCAAAUGCAAGAUUAGCUUGGCUUCUUGCAGAGAAUUUAGAGGAGAAUCUCUGAGUCUCAUAUAAAACAAACACUUUGUGUUCAAAAUCAAUGAAAAUAAAGAGGAUUAAGAGAUUUUUCAUUAAGGAAAAUGGAUAUGGAAAUGGAAUUCCAAAUCAUUUCCAGAGAAACUAUUAAGCCUUCUUCUCCAACUCCAAACCACCUUAGAACUCACAAGCUUUCCAUCAUUGAUCAGCUAGCCAUUCAGUGCUAUGUCCCUGUCCUCCUUUUUUACCCUUCCAAUGGCCAAGAUUCUAGCCAACGAUCAAGUCUUCUUAAGAAAUCCUUGUCGCAGAUAUUAAACCACUUCUAUCCUUUUGCUGGAAGAGAGGUGAACAGUUCUUGGAUUGAUUGCAAUGAUGAGGGAGCAAGUUUUGUUGAAGCAAAUGUAGCUGCUGACUUGUCUAUGCUCCUCAAGCAACCUCAAUUUGAACUGUUGCAGCAACUAUUGCCCUGCAAGCCAAAUGAGAAUUCAGUUCCAUUUCGUGCCAGGGAAAUUCUAGCUGUUCAAGUGAACUAUUUUAUUUGUGGCGGGAUGACUAUUGGUGUCUGCAUUAAGCAUUUGAUUGCUGAUGCAUCGACAGUAGCAUCUUUCAUUGAACGCUGGGGUGCUGUUGCUUGUUUUGCUGAUACUGAUGUUAAUGGUGUGAUCUUGGAUCGCACUAGUCUCUUUCCUCCUAUUGAUAAAACAGAAGGCUUAUCAUGGGGUGAUAGUUCAGAUGAAGAAUUCUUACCUGAAAUUGUGAUGAAGAGGUUCUUGUUCGAUGGUUCGAAGAUUGCUGCUCUUAAGAGAGAGUUGGCAAUAGACUAUACAAAAUUAUUCCAGCAAAAUAAUGAAUUUAACACAGAAGUACAAUUCAUCAAAGUAGUUAGAAUAUACAAGAGAGAGAUGGAAGUUCUGUUGAAAGCGUUCAAAAUUGAACAAUAACUCAAGCAAUCAAAGAACCUUCUGCAAUUUUUCCUUUUUUUUUUUCCUUAAAUCUUCUGAAACAGUUUCUUGAUAAUGCCUGUAACUGAGUGGAUUGCUUAUCUUAUGGGGUGAUAUUGAUCAGAGAUGCGCUUUGGGGGCAGCUUCCGCAAGAUGAAGAGCACCAGAGCAGAUGGCACAAUCUCCACCACCAUGUAAUAGAUGAGAUUAAGAAGGGGAUGAGUUAAGACAGCAAGAUCAGCUUUCUUGUUGAAGGCUGAGACGGCAACCAUAAAACAUCUUAUCAAAAAACAAGUACAACAAAUUCCUGUCACACAGCCAACCUCAUGAAGCUUCUUUUGACGACCUCUAGAUUCAAUGGGGAAUCGGCUCAGCAUGACAAACAACCUGCCACCAUAUAUCAAGAAUCCCAGAGCAGUGCAAAAUGAAAUAACUGAAAAGAAGAGUUUUGCUACUUCCUCCCCAGCAGGACUUCCGCUUAAUCUCAUGUAUAUCCAGAUGCAUGCCUGUGUGAAGUAUACGAGUCCAUUGAUGAUAUAAUAAGAGGGCCUGAGUUUAUCAAUGGGAAGGCUUCUUGCCUGGUGAUAUAUCUCAGCCCAAAAGAGCACUAGUAAUGUAUAUGUUGAAAAGAAUAGAAGACUAGGAAGAUCCAAAAGCACAAUUUCAAGGGCCUUUGGUCUAAUGAGAAACACAUCCUUGUAUAGACCAAAAAGGAUAGCCCUCAAUCCAUUCACAAUAAAAUUCAUCAAGUGGAAAACCUUUUGCGUCGUCCACCCAUAUUCUGGUACUCUCAAUUGGAUACGAAAAAGUUGUACCAGGGCAGUGAUGGAGACCAAUGCAUAAGAUGCAGACAAGAAAUAGAAAAUGCCUCUUUGCCAUUCUUCUGAGUCAUCGAUCUCAUCCCACCAAUGGACUCUUUUUCCACUGUAAUAAAUCCAUCUAUCUCCAAUCUCAAAACUUUUAGUUCUCAAACUCCAUGCCAUUGAUUAGUAAUUGCUCUGUCCUCAGAACAAGAAACAAAGAAAGAAAGAAUCAGAAAAAAGCUGGUUUUGUUGCAGAAAGAGAGGUCGGGUUCUUGGGUUUGGACAUCUGGAGUGAAGAGAACUGAAACACGUAGAUGACACGCGUUAAUGAAUAAAAGAAGAAAAUGACUCGGUGGGGGCGGUAUAUUCGUUAAUUGCGCAACGGACAUGCUUAAGUUUAGCUUAAGCUUUGCUGUGCUUUGUUUGUAACCGGAGAUUAC